GUAUUGGGAUCACUACAAAAGUUAUAGUAAUUUAAGCCUGCAUGAGUAGGAUGAUGGGGUUUGGUUAACUACAGCAACUUGAAAUGGGAACAUGAUAUGAAGCAUGUGUGAAGCACAGUACUGUAAUGGCAACCCAUUACUUUGCAGGUAAAAAAGUGAAGAUAUCUUUGUCAGAACCAAGCCACAAAUGUUUACAUCUUUAGAUGCAUCUGAAAGCAAGUUCAGGAUAGUUUGCAUCCAAUGAUGAAACAAUGAAGGCUUCAGUGAGGUUGCAUCAAAAACUUUUCAUGCAAGUCCUUAAAAUUUUUUUCAUGAUUUCAAUCAUUGACAAAUGUGUGAUUUUGCUUCUUCUUAGUCAGGUUUGUUCAACCUCAGGACAUCCUACAUCGUUCAAAUGCUUGCCUACCUUCUGAAAAGGAAUAUGAAAUCUAACAAACUCUAUUAUAU
RNAcentral lists this long non-coding RNA (447 nucleotides) under Ricinus communis (castor bean). RNAcentral's name for it is "long non-coding RNA (RCOM_LNC000021)". Lineage: Eukaryota; Viridiplantae; Streptophyta; Magnoliopsida; Malpighiales; Euphorbiaceae. The record is from RNAcentral.